AACGAACGCUGGCGGCAUGCCUAACACAUGCAAGUCGAACGAGACCUUCGGGUCUAGUGGCGCACGGGUGCGUAACGCGUGGGAACCUGCCCUUAGGUUCGGAAUAACUCCCCGAAAGGGGUCCUAAUACCGGAUAAUCUCUUCGGACCAAAGAUUUAUCGCCUUUGGAUGGGCCCGCGUUGGAUUAGCUAGUUGGUAGGGUAAAAGCCUACCAAGGCGACGAUCCAUAGCUGGUCUGAGAGGAUGAUCAGCCACACUGGGACUGAGACACGGCCCAGACUCCUACGGGAGGCAGCAGUGGGGAAUAUUGGACAAUGGGCGAAAGCCUGAUCCAGCAAUGCCGCGUGAGUGAUGAAGGCCUUAGGGUUGUAAAGCUCUUUUACCCGGGAUGAUAAUGACAGUACCGGGAGAAUAAGCGCCGGCUAACUCCGUG
Molecule: ribosomal RNA, 433 nt
Filed under: uncultured bacterium
Lineage: Bacteria
Description: partial 16S ribosomal RNA
Rfam family: Bacterial small subunit ribosomal RNA
Source: RNAcentral